GUUUUGUGCCACUGAAAAACAGCGCAGGAGAGCUGUCCUUACAAGAGAGAUGCUGGAGAUAUUUCUGGUGCAUUGAUUUGGAAAUCAUCAAGUAGAAUCCUAAAUGCCAAGGCCUGAAAACCUGUCUCCACUGUUCUUUCCUUCCCUUUUAAGGCUGGCAGAACUGCAAGCUGGGAUAACACCAAGGUUGCAAUUGAUAGAAGAAUCAAAUUUCCUUGGAGAAGACAAAAUGUAUAUGAAGUGCCUCCUGCAGAGCCAGGGAUGUCAUAGGUGCUCAGUAAAUAUUCUUCUAUGUGGGAUACCGCCAUAGCAUGGUUUGGUGAGUGGUGUGUAGGUCUGCGUCCAGGAUCCAAACUGGCAAACCCUGGGCUGCCGAAGUGGAGAACAUGAACUUAACCAGCCAACGGGCCAUCCCUGUCCAUUUCUCAAAUCAGUUGGAAUCAGUAAGAAUGGAAGAAUGAUUGAAAGAUUUCUCCUGCACCUCCCUCACCCCCAAUAAUGCCAACACAUUUGAACUGUGAUUGUGGGCAAUUCAGAGACAUGGAUAAAUUUUUAAAAGGUGCCCAAUCUGGUGAGAUUUGCCAAGCCUACACAAGAGUAAUGAGAGACAUCAUAAGACAGUGUUAUUUGGGUUUGUGUAUUUGAAUAAUCAGGACAUUUCUAAGUGGAGAAGGAGUAGCAUUCUAGACAGAAAGGACCAAUGAGGAAGGGUGGAAAUGAUGGGUGUUUUCAAGUAAUGUGGUGGGAAUUAAUGUAGCAUUGCUGGAGAAUGAGUAUAUACGGGGAAGAAUUGGGAAAUAAAGCUUUGAAAAGUAGAUUUGCCUGGGGAAAGGUAUGGAAAACACAGAAAGCUAAGGGCUUUGAUGUCUUUGAGGUGGGUAAUGAGAAAUCACUGAAGGGUUCUAAAGAAAUAAUAACAAGAUUUGUCAGUAUCGAAUAGCCCUACCAUAUAAAAAAUUUUGCUGUGAUAUGUGUUUGAGUAUUUGUGUGUGUUUUUGGUUUGUUUGCAUUGUUGAUGUUAAGAAGAACCAGGUAAGGUUGAUAUUCACCUAAGUUUGAACUUAGGCCAAGCCAAAAUAUAUUUGUAUAUAUACCUGGGUAUGUAUUUGUGUGUG
Molecule: long non-coding RNA, 1115 nt
Filed under: Equus caballus (horse)
Lineage: Eukaryota; Metazoa; Chordata; Mammalia; Perissodactyla; Equidae
Description: lncRNA (ENSECAG00000031138.3)
Source: RNAcentral